AAUACCAGAAAUAACCUUCCCCGUCCUUCGUCCUCCUCGCUCUUUUCUCGUGCUACGAAAAAUUUGUUAUGAAAAUAAUGGAAAUUGGGAGCUCGGCUUCAUCCCUGAGGCGAGAAAUGGGUUCUCCUCUUUGGAUCUGAGUCACUUCAUUCGGAGGGGGGAAGAUGCCAAAGAGCCAUUUGGGGACUAUUUCGAAGUUGCAGUGGCCCAUGUAGUUCAUGAAAUCAAUGUAGACGAGGUACCCAAGAAAUGCAAUGAUUGACGAUGUCCUGGUGACAGCAGCAGAUACCAUCGGGAUAGCAAAGAGUAGAAAGUAGACCACUUCUUCGGCAAACGGAUGAAUGACGGCUGCAAAAUUCAACAAGCUAUAAGCCAGAAGGGCCGCACAUUCUGGAAGCGAGAAACGGAGAUCCACAGCUGCGCGUAGAGAAGCCUCAGCAGUAGAGCAGGGAAGACGAGGAAGUUCAGCAUAUCUCUCUCCUCUCUCUCGCUUGUCACGAACUUAUAGGAACUGUGCGCGACCCACGGAGCUAGUAUUAUAUACUUCAUCGAAAACAAAGAGGAGAGUGUAUGUUAAUCAGAAUCUAUAGCGACGGAGAGGCGGAAAAUGACGAAGGUGCAGAUAUAUAGUUUCAUAGAUACUGAAGGAGAGGAGACACCUUGAAGUUGCCGAGUCUCUGCCAUGGCCACUGCGUGAAAGGCCCUGGUUGGGAAGCCAUUGCUUCUUUCUUCUCAGUGGCCCUUCUCUCUCUCUCUUGAGUUGUAUUUGUAAUGCUGAUCGCGGAAAUAUUUAAAAGCUUUUGGUGAUUCACUCGUGAAUGUGUACGUGUGCGCGCGCGCAUGUGUAUUAUUAUUAUCAUAAUUGGCAGUGCGUACUAGUUUAUCAUAUUUAUGCGGUGUAAUUUUUGUUUGUUUGUUUGUUUGUUUUGGUUUGGUUUAACUUAAAGGACAGUGAAAAUGAUGUGAUCUUGUUAAUUACCAAUAAGUAAGAGGAAUAAUUUUGUGGAUA
Ananas comosus (pineapple) is the source of this 1009-nucleotide long non-coding RNA. RefSeq lists it as uncharacterized. Lineage: Eukaryota; Viridiplantae; Streptophyta; Magnoliopsida; Poales; Bromeliaceae. The transcript has 3 exons. The record is from RefSeq and is a predicted model, not a curated record.